Molecule: long non-coding RNA, 164 nt
Organism: Lonchura striata (white-rumped munia)
Lineage: Eukaryota; Metazoa; Chordata; Aves; Passeriformes; Estrildidae
Source: RefSeq, a predicted model, not a curated record
CUGAGAUCAAAUCUAAGAGAAGGACUCUGGUUGAAUCCUUUAGGUAACAUCUAGGUAUCAUGGGUCCCUUGCACCAACAGGGCAAGUGAAACAAGACAAAUGGGUGAGAGGAGGUCAAGUGAUUAGCACAGGAUUGUAAUAAGAAGUUAAAUGCAACCCACUUA